Molecule: non-coding RNA, 1047 nt
Organism: Pelobates cultripes (western spadefoot toad)
Lineage: Eukaryota; Metazoa; Chordata; Amphibia; Anura; Pelobatidae
Source: the annotation of a GenBank genome assembly
GGACAGUAUUGUAGAUGUGUAGUCAAUGAAGAAACCCAAGGUGAAGAAAUUAAAAAGAGAAGAAAGUAAUGCAGGCUACAGGCACAGAAAAAAGAUACAUAAAGAUGGUUAACGGUGGAUUUUGGGUGUCAGCGCGUAUUCCACAAGGGAGAGAUCUGCAGUAUCUUGGUGGUGCAGGUGAGCAACCCUUAUGACGUUUAGUGAUAUCAGUGUGUGCUUGUAUAAUUUUCAAAGGCACCAGAUGCACAACUGGUAGCACAAGACUUUUUAGAACAGCAGACAUACUGUAACGGUAGUUACCCGGUCCGCGUGCCGGCAGGGAUUCAUCCGAUCGAGCCGCACGCAGCUCAAGCACUCCUGUCUCCAGGCACUCCAGCCUGUAUAGUAUUGGGAACACUGCUCACAUUGUGAGCACGUUCCUAAAGGGCAAAUGGGAGCCUAACCUUGCUGUUGGCUCCCAUUGACCCACGUCAUUCUGGCGCCCCCAUUAACGCAUAUUUUGGGGCACAGGCAUGACGUGGACCAAUCACAUUAACAAUAAACAUACUUAAAUUUACCUAGCCCUAGAUUCCGUGCCCUAUUGUGGUCUCUGUUCCCAGUACCCUUUAGUGCGUUGCUUGAGUUAUUGCAUUGUAUUCUGGUAUUGGCCUUGUCUUUGUUUCCUGACUCUGAGUUUCUCUUUGCCUGUCUUGUUUGCCCUUCUGAUUAUUACCGUGUACCUGACUCUGGCUAGUUCUGAUUUUCGCUGUCUCUCGGUUACCCUGACCUCAGCUCGUAUUUCGUCUACGCUUUAGUCUGUCUAAUGUUAAGUCUGGCCACUCUCAGGCCCGGUAAGACGGUUAUAUUUCCUUAGUCUGUUCCUUGCUAUCCUAAACUCUGCGUGUUAGGGUUAUACUCCAUGACACAUACAGACUGAAGCAAAGUGCAUACACCCAGGACCCCCAUCUCUGAGCUAUAAAUCAGAAAAUAUAUUUAUGUCUUCAUCACUGUCUAAGGAAUGAAGAAAAAAAAAUGUCUACUGGACAAAAUUAUGUUUGUGUAUUGUAC